RNAcentral lists this ribosomal RNA (1343 nucleotides) under uncultured bacterium. RNAcentral describes it as "16S ribosomal RNA". It matches the Rfam family "Bacterial small subunit ribosomal RNA", at positions 28 to 1378 of the family's 1533-position model. The record is from RNAcentral.
GACGAACGCUGGCGGCGUGCUUAACACAUGCAAGUCGAACGGAAAGGCCCUGCUUUUGUGGGGUGCUCGAGUGGCGAACGGGUGAGUAACACGUGAGUAACCUGCCCUUGACUUUGGGAUAACCUCAGGAAACUGGGGCUAAUACCGGAUAGGAGCUCCUGCUGCAUGGUGGGGGUUGGAAAGUUUCGGCGGUUGGGGAUGGACUCGCGGCUUAUCAGCUUGUUGGUGGGGUAGUGGCUUACCAAGGCUUUGACGGGUAGCCGGCCUGAGAGGGUGACCGGCCACAUUGGGACUGAGAUACGGCCCAGACUCCUACGGGAGGCAGCAGUGGGGAAUAUUGCACAAUGGGCGGAAGCCUGAUGCAGCAACGCCGCGUGCGGGAUGACGGCCUUCGGGUUGUAAACCGCUUUCGCCUGUGACGAAGCGUGAGUGACGGUAAUGGGUAAAGAAGCACCGGCUAACUACGUGCCAGCAGCCGCGGUGAUACGUAGGGUGCGAGCGUUGUCCGGAUUUAUUGGGCGUAAAGGGCUCGUAGGUGGUUGAUCGCGUCGGAAGUGUAAUCUUGGGGCUUAACCCUGAGCGUGCUUUCGAUACGGGUUGACUUGAGGAAGGUAGGGGAGAAUGGAAUUCCUGGUGGAGCGGUGGAAUGCGCAGAUAUCAGGAGGAACACCAGUGGCGAAGGCGGUUCUCUGGGCCUUUCCUGACGCUGAGGAGCGAAAGCGUGGGGAGCGAACAGGCUUAGAUACCCUGGUAGUCCACGCUGUAAACGGUGGGUACUAGGUGUGGGGUCCAUUCCACGGGUUCCGUGCCGUAGCUAACGCUUUAAGUACCCCGCCUGGGGAGUACGGCCGCAAGGCUAAAACUCAAAGGAAUUGACGGGGCCCCGCACAAGCGGCGGAGCAUGCGGAUUAAUUCGAUGCAACGCGUAGAACCUUACCUGGGUUUGACAUGGAUCGGGAGUGCUCAGAGAUGGGUGUGCCUCUUUUGGGGUCGGUUCACAGGUGGUGCAUGCCUGUCGUCAGCUCGUGUCGUGAGAUGUUGGGUUAAGUCCCGCAACGAGCGCAACCCUUGUUCACUGUUGCCAGCACGUUAUGGUGGGGACUCAGUGGAGACCGCCGGGGUCAACUCGGAGGAAGGUGGGGAUGACGUCAAGUCAUCAUGCCCCUUAUGUCCAGGGCUUCACGCAUGCUACAAUGGCUGGUACAGAGAGUGGCGAGCCUGUGAGGGUGAGCGAAUCUCGGAAAGCCGGUCUCAGUUCGGAUUGGGGUCUGCAACUCGACCUCAUGAAGUCGGAGUCGCUAGUAAUCGCAGAUCAGCAACGCUGCGGUGAAUACGUUCCCGGG